CGAUCGUUACUUUUGAACAGAUCCUUUCUGCCAUGGAGCUACCCGCCUGGUCCCGGACGCUUGUGGAAGCGCAGAUACCUGCCUCGUGGAUCCGCAACAUCUGUCCACAGUGAGGACGGUCGAGAAUGCAGCAGAGCCCCGGACGGCUUUCUCUGGUUUCUGGCGGCUCCUUUUCUAAAACAGAGAAGAGGUUUUGGUGGGGGGGCCUCCCGGUGCGCAACUAAAUCGGAUCCCACUCCACGCCACGCCGGGAUCGGUGUUUUUUUUUUUUUUUUUUGGCACAGCACUGUGAAAGAUGAGAAGCUCUGCUCCUUCCGACCUCAGAAAUCACUGAAGUUGUACAAGUUUUCUAACAAUCCACCACGAAGGUUUGAAGCCCCGCUGCGAGCCAUCAGGCCUCUGGAAAGUUUGCAUACAACAGCACAAUGGCUUCUGCACAGUGGAGGGGUCCAGUGUUUGGCUGCCUCCUGUUCCUUCUUCUUUGCUUUCAGUGUUCACAAGGUAAGUUGCCAUGGAUUCCUCUUGCAAAUCUCUUCCCAGAAUGUGCUGGAUUUAUGAACGUACUAUGUUGUGGUUACUUUCGAAAUGUCAGAGACUCACACGCACUAACGAAAACCAGAUUUUCUUCUGUGUCUUACCCUUGAACUUCAAAAAGGUGUUUCAAAUUCUUUUUAAAAAACUCAAGUCCGAGUGUCACAGCGACUUUGGGCAGUGAAGUACAAUUUAAAGUCUGACUCGUGACUUUAUUUGAAUUUUUUUUUUUUUUUAAAUUGGCACAGCCUUGAUUUGCAUUUCAAACAGAUUGUUCUGAUGGUCAGCGUACUUUAAACCAUCAAAAGCAACAGUGAAGGAUGUAAAAAUUCUCCUGCUCGGUUAUAAAAAGUUUGGAAUGACCUGUUUUCCUCCAAGUCUGAUUGGUGCACUCAGCUCUAAGUGAGUCUUGUGACAGAACGCUGUCAGUUAAAUGUCAAGUAAAGCCUCUGAUGUUAGUGUCUCCACUGAUAAUGAUCAUUUUCCGUUUUUUUCCUCAUUUUACUGCCAAACACAGUAAACUAGUGUCACGCCUGUGUGCGAAGCAUUUGUUACAGUUAAAGAAGUAAAAAAAUGUAUUCAAUUUUACUUGGAUUUGACUUUUCCCCCCACUUUUUCUAAAU
RNAcentral lists this long non-coding RNA (1154 nucleotides) under Oryzias sinensis (Chinese medaka). RNAcentral's name for it is "lncRNA (ENSOSIG00000023008.1)". Lineage: Eukaryota; Metazoa; Chordata; Actinopteri; Beloniformes; Adrianichthyidae. The record is from RNAcentral.